Molecule: ribosomal RNA, 566 nt
Filed under: uncultured archaeon
Lineage: Archaea
Description: bacterial SSU rRNA
Rfam family: Archaeal small subunit ribosomal RNA
Source: RNAcentral
UUGUAGCAAUACAAGGCAGACGGCUCAGUAACGCGUAGUCAACCUACCCUAUGGACGAGAAUAACCUCGGGAAACUGAGAAUAAUGCUCGAUAGAACAUUAUACCUGGAACGGUUUAUGUUUCAAAUGAUUUAUCGCCGUAGGAUGGGACUGCGGCCUAUCAGUUUGUUGGUGAGGUAAUGGCCCACCAAGACUAUUACAGGUACGGGCUCUGAGAGGAGUAGCCCGGAGAUGGGUACUGAGACACGGACCCAGGCCCUAUGGGGCGCAGCAGGCGAGAAAACUUUGCAAUGUGCGAAAGCACGACAAGGUUAAUCCGAGUGGUUUCUGCUAAAGGAACCUUUUGUCAGUCCUAGAAACACUGAUGAAUAAGGGGUGGGCAAGUUCUGGUGUCAGCCGCCGCGGUAAAACCAGCACCUCAAGUGGUCAGGAUGAUUAUUGGGCCUAAAGCAUCCGUAGCCGGCUCUGUAAGUUUUCGGUUAAAUCUGUACGCUUAACGUACAGGCUGCCGGGAAUACUGCAGAGCUAGGGAGUGGGAGAGGUAGACGGCACUCGGUAGGAAGGGGU